AUUGAACGCUGGCGGCAGGCCUAACACAUGCAAGUCGAGCGGUAGCACAGAGAGCUUGCUCUCGGGUGACGAGCGGCGGACGGGUGAGUAAUGUCUGGGAAACUGCCUGAUGGAGGGGGAUAACUACUGGAAACGGUAGCUAAUACCGCAUAACGUCGCAAGACCAAAGAGGGGGACCUUCGGGCCUCUUGCCAUCAGAUGUGCCCAGAUGGGAUUAGCUAGUAGGUGGGGUAACGGCUCACCUAGGCGACGAUCCCUAGCUGGUCUGAGAGGAUGACCAGCCACACUGGAACUGAGACACGGUCCAGACUCCUACGGGAGGCAGCAGUGGGGAAUAUUGCACAAUGGGCGCAAGCCUGAUGCAGCCAUGCCGCGUGUAUGAAGAAGGCCUUCGGGUUGUAAAGUACUUUCAGCGGGGAGGAAGGCGGUGAGGUUAAUAACCUUGCCGAUUGACGUUACCCGCAGAAGAAACACCGGCUAACUCCGUGCCAGCCGCCGCGGUAA
This 504-nucleotide ribosomal RNA is filed under the name uncultured bacterium. RNAcentral's name for it is "partial 16S ribosomal RNA". It matches the Rfam family "Bacterial small subunit ribosomal RNA", at positions 30 to 523 of the family's 1533-position model. The record is from RNAcentral.